RNAcentral lists this ribosomal RNA (406 nucleotides) under uncultured bacterium. Its description in RNAcentral is "partial 16S ribosomal RNA". It matches the Rfam family "Bacterial small subunit ribosomal RNA", at positions 30 to 526 of the family's 1533-position model. The record is from RNAcentral.
AUUGAACGCUGGCGGCAGGCCUAACACAUGCAAGUCGAACGAGUGGCGGACGGGUGAGUAAUGUCUGGGAAACUGGCUGAUGGAGGGGGAUCACUACUGGAAACGGUAGCUAAUACCGCAUACCCUCGGAUGUGCCCAGAUUGGAUUAGCUAGUUGGUGGGGUAACGGCUCACCAAGGCGACGAUCCCUAGCUGGUCUGAGAGGAUGACCAGCCACACGGGACAUGAGAAACGGUCCAGACUCAUACGGGAGGCAGAAGUGGGGAAUAUUGCACAAUGGGCGCAAGCCGGAGGCAGCAAUGCCGCGUGUAUGAAGAAGGCCUUCGGGUUGUAAAGUACUUUAAGCGGGGAGGCGUUACUCGCAGAAGAAGCACCGGCUAACUCCGUGCCAGCAGCCGCGGUAAUUC